Molecule: long non-coding RNA, 1694 nt
Filed under: Equus caballus (horse)
Lineage: Eukaryota; Metazoa; Chordata; Mammalia; Perissodactyla; Equidae
Description: lncRNA (ENSECAG00000047708.1)
Source: RNAcentral
UGCGAAGCUGAGCAUCCCUCCUCUGGCUCCAGUAAUUGGCUCCCUGGGCAGUCUGUUCCUUUCUCUCCACUAAAUUAAGCUCCUUCUCUUCGGGUCUUGAUUGUUAAAACACCCUAUUUGCCCAUGCCAUUUACAUAUUCCAAUUACCCACUGCCAUUUCCCUGCUAAUGAGCCCAUGUACCUGCGUUCAAGAGCCUCUGGCCCCGAGCCUGCUUGUGCAGGAGGGCUGAACGUGGCAGGCAAAGGCUAUUCAUCGUGUCUUCAGACGAGCAGUGCCGAGGCUGUUUUCUCACCUUCUUCUCUCCCUGCUGGACCAACUCUCCACAUAGCAGACCUUUGUGCCUCAUUACCUGCCCCCACAGACAUCACGAUGCCUUUACCUUAGUGACAAGAAGGAAAGCUCCAUGCCAACUGGAGAAGGGCUCCGUGUUCUUAUUGCGAUCAUAAAAGGCCCAUUGUACCCUUAGACAAUUACAUGCGCAGAGCCCAUUAAGUCCAAGGUCUUCCUAAUUUCCAUCACUGAAUUCUUCACAGAGGGGAAGCAGAUGCUUGGGUGCUAAGUAACUGGACACAGGAUAAUGAGUGGCUGCACAAUGAUGCUGAAUGGGGAGAACUCCGGCUUUGAGACAGCCUGCUCUGGGCAGGAAUCCUGUCUCUGAAAACAUUCAGAUUUUCCCCCAAGGCCCAGAAGAUGGUGUCCCCAUAUUGGAAACUUCUUCUUCAUGAUGAUAACAUUUUCCCCAGUGCACCAUCUGCUAGACUACAGCAAAGGGACCUCCAGCUGCACAGACGAAGGCGCUUCGUGUAACACUCAGGCUCCUGCUUAAAGAGAAGAGCAGUGUGUGAGGUCUCAUUGUCUGAACUUGAAUCCUGGCUUCACUAAUGAGUAGCUGUUUAACCUCAGGCAAACUGUGAAAUAUCUCUGAGCUUCAGUUUCCCGAUACCUGAAAUGGGGAUAAGAAUGCAUGUGUUAUAAUGUGGCCAUAAAAUGACAAAAGAAAUGUGGCAGGCCCAAUAUGGUGCCUGGCAUGUUGCAGGAGCUCUGAAAAUGCCAACUUGUCUCCCAUCCCUUCAACUGACUCAGAAGAACACCUGCUCUAGAGGCAGAGCAGCACGGAGUUCAACUCUUGGCUCUGCCACUUACUUGCUGUGACUUUGGGCAGAUGGUUCCAUCUCCCUUCGUUCUAUCAUAUAUAAAACGAAGGUGCUAGUACUACUUCUUGGUGUUGUUCUGAAGGAUUUAAGAGUGAUGAGCAUGGGGGGCUGCAAUACAGGUGCUCGAUCCACUGUUCUUACCACAUUAAUUGACGAUAAAACACUCAGGCCAAGUGAAGCUCAAAGAGAAGAUUGACAAAGAUCUUUGUAUGGGAUUUUGAACAGAACCUGCCUUAAAAGCAGGACUGACAUCAACAGGGGUUUGGACCAAGGGCUCUGGAUCUUGGGAGCCUGAUGAUCAGCUGAAAGGAGUAGUGUGAAAUGAUAAGAGAGCUCCUGCUUAAACAAGAAAUUGCAUGAACCCUAAUUUGGAAAAAUGUUAGUGGGAAGUCUUAUGUAUUUAUAUGCACUUCGGAAAGAUUUAUGCCAGUCUUAAUGGCUGGAGAUGUCCUUCAAAUUUUCCAUCCGCCUUGCAAUAGGUCUAAUGUGAUAACAAACAGGAAAUCGACUGGGCUAAGGGACAUGCAGUUCUGUUUUGA